Molecule: ribosomal RNA, 761 nt
Filed under: Campylobacter jejuni
Lineage: Bacteria; Pseudomonadati; Campylobacterota; Epsilonproteobacteria; Campylobacterales; Campylobacteraceae
Description: bacterial SSU rRNA
Rfam family: Bacterial small subunit ribosomal RNA
Source: RNAcentral
GAGCGUAACUCCUUUUCUUAGGGAAGAAUUCUGACGGUACCUAAGGAAUAAGCACCGGCUAACUCCGUGCCAGCAGCCGCGGUAAUACGGAGCGUGCAAGCGUUACUCGGAAUCACUGGGCGUAAAGGGCGCGUAGGCGGAUUAUCAAGUCUCUUGUGAAAUCUAAUGGCUUAACCAUUAAACUGCUUGGGAAACUGAUAGUCUAGAGUGAGGGAGAGGCAGAUGGAAUUGGUGGUGUAGGGGUAAAAUCCGUAGAUAUCACCAAGAAUACCCAUUGCGAAGGCGAUCUGCUGGAACUCAACUGACGCUAAGGCGCGAAAGCGUGGGGAGCAAACAGGAUUAGAUACCCUGGUAGUCCACGCCCUAAACGAUGUACACUAGUUGUUGGGGUGCUAGUCAUCUCAGUAAUGCAGCUAACGCAUUAAGUGUACCGCCUGGGGAGUACGGUCGCAAGAUUAAAACUCAAAGGAAUAGACGGGGACCCGCACAAGCGGUGGAGCAUGUGGUUUAAUUCGAAGAUACGCGAAGAACCUUACCUGGGCUUGAUAUCCUAAGAACCUUUUAGAGAUAAGAGGGUGCUAGCUUGCUAGAACUUAGAGACAGGUGCUGCACGGCUGUCGUCAGCUCGUGUCGUGAGAUGUUGGGUUAAGUCCCGCAACGAGCGCAACCCACGUAUUUAGUUGCUAACGGUUCGGCCGAGCACUCUAAAUAGACUGCCUUCGUAAGGAGGAGGAAGGUGUGGACGACGUCAAGUCAUCAUG